Molecule: ribosomal RNA, 1342 nt
Filed under: metagenome
Description: bacterial LSU rRNA
Rfam family: Bacterial large subunit ribosomal RNA
Source: RNAcentral
UGAGUACGAGCGGCUACGGCCGCGAAGUGGAUGAUGUCAAGCUUCCAAGAAAAGCCCUAUACCCGUUAAGGCAUGAUGGCCUGUACCCGAAACCGACACAGGUGGGGUGGUAGAGAAUACCGAGGGGCGCGAGGUAACUCUCUCUAAGGAACUCGGCAAAAUGGCCCCGUAACUUCGGGAGAAGGGGUGCCACCGCGAGGUGGUCGCAGUGAAGAGGCCCAGGCGACUGUUUACCAAAAACACAGGUCUCCGCUAAGUCGCAAGACGAUGUAUGGGGGCUGACGCCUGCCCAGUGCCGGAAGGUUAAGGAAGCUGGUCAGCGCAAGCGAAGCUGGCGACUGAAGCCCCGGUGAACGGUGGCCGUAACAAUAACGGUCCUAAGGUAGCGAAAUUCCUUGUCGGGUAAGUUCCGACCCGCACGAAAGGCGUAACGAUCUGGGCGCUGUCUCGGAGAGAGGCUCGGCGAAAUAGAAUUGUCUGUGAAGAUGCGGACUACGUGCACCCGGACAGAAAGACCCUAUGAAGCUUUACUGUAGCUUGGUAUUGUGCUCGGGCUCGGAAUGCGCAGGAUAGGUGGGAGGCUUUGAUCCAUUGCUUGCGGGUGAUGGUGAGCCACUGGUGAGAUACCACUCUUUCCGAGCUAGAGUUCUAACAGCAACCCGUUAUCCGGGUGCUGGACAGUAUCAGGUGGGCAGUUUGACUGGGGCGGUCGCCUCCUAAAAGGUAACGGAGGCGCGCAGAGGUCUGCUCAGGCUGGUUGGAAAUCAGCCGACGAGUGUAAAAGCAGAAGCAGGCUUGACUGUGAGACCUACAAGUCGAACAGGGAGGAAACUCGGCUUUAGUGAUCCGACGUUUCUGCGUGGAAGGGCCGUCGCUCAACGGAUAAAAGUUACUCUAGGAUAACAGGCUGAUCUCCCCCAAGAGUUCACAUCGACGGGGAGGUUUGGCACCUCGAUGUCGGCUCAUCGCAACCUGGGGCUGAAGUCGGUCCCAAGGGUUGGGCUGUUCGCCCAUUAAAGCGGUACGCGAGCUGGGUUCAGAGCGUCGUGAGACAGUUCGGUCCAUAUCCGGUGCACGCGCAGGAAUAUUGAGAGGAUUUCUCCCUAGUACGAGAGGACCGGGAGGAACGCACCUCUGGUGUGCCAGUUAUCGGGCCAACGGUAACGCUGGGUAGCCAUGUGCGGAGUGGAUAACCGCUGAAAGCAUCUAAGUGGGAAGCCCACCUCAAGAUGAGUAUUCCCAUGGCAUAAGCCAGUAAGGUCACGGGAAGAACACCCGUUGAUAGGCUCUACGUGGAAGCGCAGUAAUGUGUGAAGCGGAGGAGUACUAAUAGACCGAGGGC